AUGGAGGUAGCUAUAAAAAGCGAGCUCCCUGGGACUGUGCACAGAUGGUGCAAGUGGCACAUUCUAAAGAAAGCAAAAGAGAACCUUGGCCCACUGUACACAAGGAAGAGUGAGUUUAGAGCCGAAUUCCACAAAGUGGUGAAUCACAUGAUAAGUGUGGAUGAAUUUGAGACUGCUUGGGGUAUACUUGUUGACAAAUAUAAUCUAAAGUCCCACAAUUACAUGACAAACCUGUAUGAGAUACGUGACAAGUGGGCGAAGCCAUACUUCAAAGGUGUCUUCUGCGCCAAAAUGACGAGCACCCAGCGAAGCGAGAGUGCGAAUAACUUGCUGAAAAUGUGCAUGCCGCCAUCAAGCCAAAUGCACGUGUUUGUGAAGCAAUACACGAGGCUUCAAUUUGACAGGGAAUCAGAUGAGAGCUAUGAAGAGAAAAGGACAAGAGUUAGUGGCGCUGUAAUGCGGACAAACAUUGCUAUCGAGAGGCGCGCGAGUAAAAUAUAUACGAGAAAGAUGUUUGAACAAUUUGGUGAGAACCUCUUCGAGGGUGGUUCAUACCAAGUCGAAGAAGUGGAGAAGAAAAACAAAUAUAUCGCAAGGCACAACAAUGCUGAGAAACUAGAAAAGUGGAGCAAGGUCGAAUACGAGGUUAUGGACCACAUUGGUGUGCAAGAGAUACCCAAGUGCCACAUAUUAAAAAGGUGGACAAAAGAUGCUAGGGACAUCUUGCCGCAACACAUUGCUCAUUUUCAAAAGGACCUAGCUGCUACUCAAUCGUUUACCUGUCGGAGCUCAACCCUGUACCUGCAUGCUAUGGAAUUGGUGAGGAUUGGAGACUCGUCAGUCGCUGCCUACGAGCUUGUACUAGGGAGGAUCAAAGAAUUAUUCCUGGAGGCCUCUCCGUUAACGGAAAAAAGGGAUGGUCUUGGAAUUGAAGAUAGGAUAGCUGCUGAAGCAAAUAUGAAGAACAAUGGCUCAGCUGUAGCAACCCUGAACAUUGAUGCAGAAUUGUUUGAAAACGAUAACAGCAUGACAGCAUCUGGCAAUUGGGAUGCACUUGCUGGUCUGUCAGCUCCCAGCAAGAAGAGAGGUGUGGGCCGGCCGUGUUCAAGCAGAGAGAGUGCCGUAUGA
This 1128-nucleotide ribosomal RNA is filed under the name Triticum aestivum (bread wheat). RNAcentral's name for it is "partial small subunit ribosomal RNA". Lineage: Eukaryota; Viridiplantae; Streptophyta; Magnoliopsida; Poales; Poaceae. The record is from RNAcentral.